AUUGAACGCUGGCGGCAGGCCUAACACAUGCAAGUCGAACGGUAGCACAGAGAGCUUGCUCUCGGGUGACGAGUGGCGGACAGGUGAGUAAUGUCUGGGAAACUGCCCGAUGGAGGGGGAUAACUACUGGAAACGGUAGCUAAUACCGCAUAACGUCGCAAGACCAAAGUGGGGGACCUUCGGGCCUCACACCAUCGGAUGUGCCCAGAUGGGAUUAGCUAGUAGGCGGGGUAAUGGCUCACCUAGGCGACGAUCCGUAGCUGGUCUGAGAGGAUGACCAGCCACACUGGAACUGAGACACGGUACAGACUCCUACGGGAGGCAGCAGUGGGGAAUAUUGCACAAUGGGCGCAAGCCUGAUGCAGCCAUGCCGCGUGUAUGAAGAAGGCCUUCGGGUUGUAAAGUACUUUCAGCGGGGAGGAAGGCGGUGAAGUUAAUAACUUCACCGAUUGACGUUACCCGCAGAAGAAGCACCGGCUAACUCCGUGCCAGCCGCCGCCGUAA
Molecule: ribosomal RNA, 504 nt
Filed under: uncultured bacterium
Lineage: Bacteria
Description: partial 16S ribosomal RNA
Rfam family: Bacterial small subunit ribosomal RNA
Source: RNAcentral